GCCCUCUCAGGGUUACUCCCGGAGAGUUGCCAAUACUCUACCAGUCUUGACUAUGGGAGGGAGAGUCAAGCAGAGACAUACUCAUUCCAUUCCUAGCUUGACCAGUGGCUAGCGAGUGGAAGGCAAUCUGCUACAAGU
Molecule: small nucleolar RNA, 138 nt
Organism: Ornithorhynchus anatinus (platypus)
Lineage: Eukaryota; Metazoa; Chordata; Mammalia; Monotremata; Ornithorhynchidae
Source: RefSeq, a predicted model, not a curated record